Molecule: ribosomal RNA, 450 nt
Filed under: Bacillus sp. LT1M2B2
Lineage: Bacteria; Bacillati; Bacillota; Bacilli; Caryophanales; Bacillaceae
Description: bacterial SSU rRNA
Rfam family: Bacterial small subunit ribosomal RNA
Source: RNAcentral
CAUGCAAGUCGAACGGUAAGGCCCCUUCGGGGGUACACGAGUGGCGAACGGGUGAGUAACACGUGGGUAAUCUGCCCUGCACUUCGGGAUAAGCCUGGGAAACUGGGUCUAAUACCGGAUAUGAGCUCUCACCGCAUGGUGGGGGUUGGAAAGUUUUUCGGUGCAGGAUGAGCCCGCGGCCUAUCAGCUUGUUGGUGGGGUAAUGGCCUACCAAGGCGACGACGGGUAGCCGGCCUGAGAGGGUGAUCGGCCACACUGGGACUGAGACACGGCCCAGACUCCUACGGGAGGCAGCAGUGGGGAAUAUUGCACAAUGGGCGGAAGCCUGAUGCAGCGACGCCGCGUGGGGGAUGACGGUCUUCGGAUUGUAAACCCCUUUCAGUAGGGACGAAGCGCAAGUGACGGUACCUGCAGAAGAAGCACCGGCCAACUACGUGCCAGCAGCGGCCG